RNAcentral lists this ribosomal RNA (222 nucleotides) under Triticum aestivum (bread wheat). RNAcentral's name for it is "partial small subunit ribosomal RNA". The record is from RNAcentral. Lineage: Eukaryota; Viridiplantae; Streptophyta; Magnoliopsida; Poales; Poaceae.
AUGAAGGGCUUAGUUGAUGCUUUGAAGACAACUGAGCCCAUUCCACUACCAAAGGAUAACACUCCAGCUAUAAUUCUUGAUGCACUAAAGUUUAUACCAAAUUUAGCCGAGCAAGACAUGCUUCGAUGCUAUGGGAAGUUGGUACUCAAUGGUCGCUUGUUUCAAGCUCUAAAGGAGCUGCUCGUCACCGUGAGGAAGACGUGGCUGUUAAUGUUUCCUUGA